Molecule: ribosomal RNA, 253 nt
Filed under: uncultured bacterium
Lineage: Bacteria
Description: partial 16S ribosomal RNA
Rfam family: Bacterial small subunit ribosomal RNA
Source: RNAcentral
UACGUAGGGCGCAAGCGUUGUCCGGAAUUAUUGGGCGUAAAGAGCUCGUAGGCGGUUUGUCACGUCGGAUGUGAAAGCCCGGGGCUUAACCCCGGGUCUGCAUUCGAUACGGGCAGACUGGAGUGUGGUAGGGGAGAUUGGAAUUCCUGGUGUAGCGGUGGAAUGCGUAGAGAUCCGGAAGAACACCGGUGGCGAAGGCGGCAUCCUGGACCGGCAUUGACGCUGAGGAGCGAAAGCGUGGGGAGCGAACAGG